Molecule: transfer RNA, 76 nt
Filed under: Desulfotruncus arcticus DSM 17038
Lineage: Bacteria; Bacillati; Bacillota; Clostridia; Eubacteriales; Desulfallaceae
Description: tRNA_Thr_GGT
Rfam family: tRNA
About the family: Transfer RNA (tRNA) molecules are approximately 80 nucleotides in length. Their secondary structure includes four short double-helical elements and three loops (D, anti-codon, and T loops).
Source: RNAcentral
GCCGCUAUAGCUCAGUAGGUAGAGCGCAUCCUUGGUAAGGAUGAGGUCACCGGUUCAAACCCGGUUAGUGGCUCCA